Molecule: long non-coding RNA, 200 nt
Filed under: Elaeis guineensis (African oil palm)
Lineage: Eukaryota; Viridiplantae; Streptophyta; Magnoliopsida; Arecales; Arecaceae
Description: long non-coding RNA (EGUI_LNC048166)
Source: RNAcentral
UUCAGCAAAGAACUAACUAGCAACAAUGCCUGUAACUCAUUAUCUACCAUAAUUUUUAUAGUUGUCAACUAGUUCACCAAACCCAAAAAAUCUCUCAUAUGCUCAAACACAUUACACCCAUCUUUACACUUUAGAUUCAUCGAUCUUCUAAAUAAAUAGGCUUUAUUCUAUGCACUUGGACACUCAUACAGUCUCUAAUU